RNAcentral lists this long non-coding RNA (394 nucleotides) under Rosa chinensis. RNAcentral's name for it is "sRNA RchiOBHm_Chr3g0497451". Lineage: Eukaryota; Viridiplantae; Streptophyta; Magnoliopsida; Rosales; Rosaceae. The record is from RNAcentral.
GACGUGAUACCGACCUAUCGCUCGACGAGGAUCCUUACGCUUGGAUACCACGUUAGCCGUAUAUCAUUGCAGUACUGUUGCUCGGUGUACGAGUGUGAGCCAUAGUGACCGCACCUGCUUCCGCCAUCACCUUCUGUAGGUUACCUGGUUAACCUACUGUAUUCCUUGUCUAUUUAUAUUCCUAGAAUGCUCUGAUUACUAAGGGAUGUGUGACCCAACUUUGAUGUAUUAUAUUUGGGGUCUAUGACCUAACUUUGGUGAUUGUAGUAACUUAUACCCUUUGGAGAUUAUGUUUAAUGUUUUUAACUUUGAGAUGGUUUGGAUGAAUUUGGGAGCAGGGUGGCUCCAGGAGUUAUGGGAGGUUAUGCCGAAAUUUUUGGUAAAUCUCCUUUAA